Molecule: long non-coding RNA, 1200 nt
Organism: Gasterosteus aculeatus aculeatus (three-spined stickleback)
Lineage: Eukaryota; Metazoa; Chordata; Actinopteri; Perciformes; Gasterosteidae
Source: Ensembl
GUUUCCUGUCCCAAAGACCGAGAAGAAGGCGUCGUACUCCAUCCGCUUGGUGGGCAUCCAGUCCUCAAAUACUGAAGUUCAUGUCCUCCAACGGUCCCACCUCAAUGACGUCAGUGUUCGCGGUUCACCGCUUGAGUAACUGAAAGAUUUGGGUGCGUUACAUUUGACGAAGAAGUGCAAGAAGAGCGGCUCAAUUUCUACGGUACCGCCUGUUAAUGCUUCAGGGAGCUGAUGAAUCUAAGAUGGAUACUUUUGACGAUGCCACUCUAUCGGUGUUGGAGGCUGCCAGUGUUGAUGAGGAGGCUUUGAAAGGCCUUAGCCGGGAUGACCUGAGGGAUCUUUUUCCUGGCCCAGAGAAUUUCCUCAAAAGAAAGAAACUUUGGAAUUUCAUCAGUGAAAAUUGUGAAAAUACCACGGACCAAGAUGCCAACAAUUGUGCCAUGCCACCAUGCCAGCCUCAAACCUCAACCCCCAUAUCUGUUGAGAAAAAAAUGAAAAUGCCAGACCCUCCAGAGUAUGUGGUGUACACAGAUUCAGAGUUAGACAUGGUGCGUAGUCAAUACUUUGCACUGCUCUGCAAUGGAAAGGAAAAAAAUUACAAACUGUCCAAGGAGCUAUGUUGCAGACUUGUAAGGAACACAAUAACCAGUAUGGUUGCUAUCCUGCGUGCUAGUCCCAUGGGGAAAGAAGUCAGUUACCCGUCAAAAUUGGAAAUAAGAGCCAUGUCACAGAAGAUUAUAGACUAUUACCCAAUGUUACGGGAUGAUGAUCCAAACAUGCCUUAUCUGACUAUCUACACCAAAAUGUACAAGCGACUCCAAAAUAUGAGAUCCCCACGGAAGAGGCAAGGCUCUGUACCACAAAGAGGAGUGGCAAAGACAGCUCUCUUCAGUGCAGACAACCAAGACAUGGAGACGGAUUGGACAGACACAAGCAACUCAAGUGAUAAUACCUUACUUCUUGAGAGCAAUGAUGACCUUACCGAGGACAACUCCAGUGAAGCAUUCCCAGCACAUCGACCCCCCUCUGUGCCAAGGAAGCCAAAGACCAAAACCUUCCUGCUGCCAUCCGCAUCAGCCUCAGGCUCCUCACUCAGGACUGUGAUCGCUUCACCAACCACGCCUGCAAAGGAUGAUGUUGGUAAGCCCACCUCAGCACACCUCUCAGCCUGUUAUCCAUGAUAAUGACUUUCAGAGUGGC